GAUGAACGCUGGCGGCGUGCCUAAUACAUGCAAGUCGAGCGAACAGAUGAGGAGCUUGCUCCUCUGACGUUAGCGGCGGACGGGUGAGUAACACGUGGAUAACCUACCUAUAAGACUGGGAUAACUUCGAGAAACCGGAGCUAAUACCGGAUAAUAUAUUGAACCGCAUGGUUCAAUAGUGAAAGACGGUUUUGCUGUCACUUAUAGAUGGAUCCGCGCCGCAUUAGCUAGUUGGUAAGGUAACGGCUUACCAAGGCAACGAUGCGUAGCCGACCUGAGAGGGUGAUCGGCCACACUGGAACUGAGACACGGUCCAGACUCCUACGGGAGGCAGCAGUAGGGAAUCUUCCGCAAUGGGCGAAAGCCUGACGGAGCAACGCCGCGUGAGUGAUGAAGGUCUUCGGAUCGUAAAACUCUGUUAUUAGGGAAGAACAAAUGUGUAAGUAACUAUGCACGUCUUGACGGUACCUAAUCAGAAAGCCACGGCUAACUACGUG
RNAcentral lists this ribosomal RNA (497 nucleotides) under uncultured bacterium. Its description in RNAcentral is "partial 16S ribosomal RNA". It matches the Rfam family "Bacterial small subunit ribosomal RNA", at positions 28 to 507 of the family's 1533-position model. The record is from RNAcentral.